This 794-nucleotide long non-coding RNA is filed under the name Gossypium barbadense (sea-island cotton). RNAcentral's name for it is "long non-coding RNA (GBAR_LNC008929)". Lineage: Eukaryota; Viridiplantae; Streptophyta; Magnoliopsida; Malvales; Malvaceae. The record is from RNAcentral.
UGCACUUUCAGACCCAAAAAGUGUUUCAAGAAAACUUUGUAAACGACAAACUAUAUCUAAUAAUCAUAAAUUCAAGUAUUAAUUGGUUCAUGUCAUAGUUAAUAUUUAUACGGUUAAUAAAAUCUAAUAAUACUAAGAACCCAUUUUUUACAGAAAAAAAAUCUACCAGAACUUUAAGAAGCAGAGAUGAAAAUGAAUGAUUGUAAAAGAAAAUAUGAAACCUUACCUUUGGUAUGGUUGGUGAGAGCACCGAUGAGUGAGACAGGGAGAAGUGUUUUCCUAAGGUAAGAGGAACACAAUAAAGGAGGAGGUGAGAAAUUGUUACAAGUGUAAAAUGUUUGAAGAGAGGUUUUUUCCUGAAGCGUAAAAUGACUUCCGGAAAUUUCAGGAAAAAAGCGAAGGUUUUUCCUUUGACUAACAAGUUUUUUUUCCCUAUGUUUUACAGAAUCAAACACCGAAAAAUUAAGAAAACAUUUUCCGGAAAAUAGAAGUAACAAAACAGACAGACCCUUAAUUCGCAACUUUGUUGCCUUCUUGAACCACUUAGGAAAAGGAAACAUGAUCAAAACAAAGACAACAAUAAAGAAUAUCUUGUUUAAUAGCAAACUAUUCCAACAUUCACAUGAAGAAGGCCAUUUAUGCAGUCAGACUAAAAAUGACAUGGGACCAACCUCUGUCUUUUGCUUUCAAGCACGCCACACGGAUAGCAAAAGCUUUUGCUGCCUCGAUAGAUGUUGCAUAGAUCAAAUCCAACCAUCCAUCAGAGCUCUAUCGUGAUCCUGAACAGUAAGCCA